GAGAAAUUCACUUCCUUUUCUUGCCUCUUCCAGGGGAAUUCCUGAUGUUUCUGGAGUGUCCCAGGAGCCUUCCCACAUCCAUGAAUGUGCAUCCCUGAGGGACACAACCCCUCCCUUGGAUGCUCCCAGUGGCUGCUCCUUGUCCCAACAUCCCCUUCCAUCCGGAUGCGCCGCCGAUCCCGGAGAUGCCAAUUUGCCUUCCCAAAACUCCUCAUCUGGACAACUCGGGAGCCAGGAGGCCAAUAAAUCCUGGAAAACUGAUGAGGAGGCAUCAAGUCCCCAAAGGAGUGAAGAUCCCACAAACUCUGCUCCGGAAAAGAGGCCAAACCAAGCAGGAGCUUCUCUCCCGCGGGAGCCCCGGAGCACAUCUGGGAAUGAGGGACAUUCCUCCGGUGCCAACGAUGGUCCAGCUGCUGGUGUGGAGCUUCCAGGGAAAGAGAAGGAGUUCCUGAGGCAGGAGGAGUUCUCAUCUUCAGGGAAUUCCUCCUACAAAACGGCCCUGACGGAAAAAAGCGAGAGGGAGACGCAAAAGGAAAAGGUGAAAGCAGUUGGGAGCGGGGGAGGAGUCCUGGAAAAGCUGGAAAAGAAGGUCCCUGAGCUUGAUUUGUCCAAUAAUUCGUCUGGUGGCUCGAGGAACAACCACUUUAAAAAUCCAGGUGCUCCUGAUGUUCUUUCUGCCAAGACUUCUGAGCCAGGCAAAGGAAUGUCGAAGGGACAUGGAGUGGAUUUAAACGGCUCUGGAAGCUUGAAGUUUGUUCCUGAGGAACUCCUGGAUCGUCAGUGCAAACAACCCCCUCCUACAGUGGGAUUUGGGAAAGAGGAGUCACUCCCUGCUGUGAUGAACCCCAGGGACUGUGCACCUGGACAACCAGUUGCUGACAUGGAGAUGCCUCCGUGCAAUGAGGAAUCUCCGGCGGGAGCGGAUCCCGGAGGGAGCGGGAAUGAAUUAACUGCCUCGGAUUUUUCCAUACAAAGGGGCCAUAAAGUCACAGACAUUUCCCCUUCCUUCAACCUUGGAGGUGAUGCCUCGUUCUCCCUACGCUUGGCUCAUCCCAUCUUUCAGUCCACUCCAGGGAUGCUCCUGAAGAAGAAUGUGAAGGUGGAAGAACUCGGUGUCCCGGUGAGCCAGUCGGAUCUCCGGGUCUCUCCAUCAUGUUCUGAUGUUCCUUCAGGGAACUCACCCCUGUCCCCUGGGAAACAGCAUUCCCCCCGAUGUGCUCCGAAGGAAAACAAGGAACAUUUGGAGCCCUUCCAAUGGAAAUAUCCCCACACUGGAAGAAUCCAGUCCCUCCCAUCCCUUAGUUUCAUGGAGAAGGUUGGAUCUUGGAACGUGAGCCAGCCAGAGGAGGUUCCUGAUGCCGGGAUUCCCGGUGGAUUUUCUCCCGGAAGAAAAGCCUCCAGUGCCGUUGCCAUUCCCUCCAGCCACGUUUUGUCCACCCAGAAGAGCAGCAGAGAUCCCAAGGAUUUUGCUGCUGCUCCCCCUAGGGAGACAGGUUCUCUGGGAAGUUUGCACUUCCCAUGUAAAAACUUCCUGCUUGUCCCCCCUCUUACGAGAUCCCAGUCGGACAACGCCGUGAACGUUUCCAGCAGGAAACGUUCCUUGGCUGGGGUUAUUCCACCAGCAAAUUCCACAGAGGCACUGCAGCUUCCAGAAGAGAAAAACCAUGUUUUAGGAGUGUUGGACAAUAAUUUAGGAGGCUCCACGAUCCAGAAGGUUGUUUCUGGAUCCAGUGGUGAAGACACGGAAAAUAACAACACGGGACAAAGCUCAGAUCCCGAUGUUUUGGUUUCCAGUGUUGCUCUGCUCCUUAAAAAGGAUGGAAACUCUCCAGCUGGUGAUGGGAAGAAUUGGGAUGCUCCCGAAAAUCGGUCUCUCAGCCUGAAUAUUCCCGCUGGUCCCGUCAUCCUGGACAACUCGGGGGCAAUUUCCCCGGAUAGUUUGAACGUUCCCGUUGAUUCCGGGGGGAGCAGCCAGGGGGGUUUGGGAUCCACUCUGAGCUCCGGGGGGGUCUCCAGCCACUUCCCCAGUACAGGAGGUGAGAACUUCCUCCCUGGUGGAGCAACUCCUUUGGAAACUCCGAAGAAGCAAGAGCUGGAUAUUGAAGAAAGGAUCCCAGUAAGUGUGGUUUUGGUUUAACCUCUGGUGUCGGAGUUAUCCCUUUAUUU
Molecule: long non-coding RNA, 2166 nt
Organism: Manacus vitellinus (golden-collared manakin)
Lineage: Eukaryota; Metazoa; Chordata; Aves; Passeriformes; Pipridae
Source: Ensembl